AUCGACUUUCAUUAUAUAUAUAUCAACUUUCAUUAUAUAUAUAUCAAAUCUUUUUUUCCUACCGAGCCCCGGAAGGGACAUGUCCGUAUGGCGAAGCGACAACGAAGGACACUCACCCGGACGAGAAUUUUAUUGAGUUUUAUUUUAAAAUCGGCCUGAAACACACAGACAUUCAAGCAGUGCGAUGCGCUAAGAGUCUGCCAUGCAGACCAGCGAUCCUGAUAAUGUUGUCGGCCUUGGAUGAUGAGGUCCAGUUACCAGGAGCACUAGUCUGCAGCUUACUGGUUCCGUCUUGCAGCUCCUCCACGCUGUCCUCCUCUCUACAGACCAAAUCAAGAAAAGGGAACCAGGAAGCUGCUGUGGAUCCUCUGCAGUAUCUGGAGAGGUCAGAGGAACGGUUCUUGGAACAGAUCGGAAGACACCAAGACGUGACCUCUGCCAUGCUCCAGAACAUCCAGAAGAUGAAUGAAAACCUUGGUUGCACUGAUGGGACGCAUGGUGUCGGUGCUGGAGCAACUGUCCCAGAAUUAAACUGCAUUGUUGACUAUUGGCUUUUCUAGAAAAUAAAUCUUUUUUAGUACUUCA
Long non-coding RNA from Acanthochromis polyacanthus (spiny chromis), 585 nucleotides. RefSeq lists it as uncharacterized. NCBI's taxonomy places the organism in Eukaryota, Metazoa, Chordata, Actinopteri, Pomacentridae. The record is from RefSeq and is a predicted model, not a curated record. The transcript has 3 exons.